GCUGGGCUUGGUAGUGUGAGCCUGUAACCCAAAUGGGAGCAUUAAGAUGGUGGAAUAAUGGGCUUACCUUGAAGGCUGGGCUUGGGGUGUUAUCUACUGGCUUGCCCGUUCUAAGUGGUGAGUCCGGCUGUGCAGUCUCUGCGAAGGCAGAGGCUUCUCAGUUCUUAGAUCGGAGGGCACUGCGUCAGGCUGGUUUCACAGAGCAGCGAACACCUCCACCUCUCUGCAGUGGAAGGAUAACAGGUCGGAGCAUCUUCGGUCCAGUAGUGCCUGAUUAGUUGUCCAAAUCGAACCACCAUCUUU
This 303-nucleotide signal recognition particle RNA is filed under the name Ipomoea nil (Japanese morning glory). RNAcentral describes it as "Plant signal recognition particle RNA". It matches the Rfam family "Plant signal recognition particle RNA". Lineage: Eukaryota; Viridiplantae; Streptophyta; Magnoliopsida; Solanales; Convolvulaceae. The record is from Rfam by way of RNAcentral.